Molecule: ribosomal RNA, 617 nt
Filed under: Cortinarius brunneus
Lineage: Eukaryota; Fungi; Basidiomycota; Agaricomycetes; Agaricales; Cortinariaceae
Description: eukaryotic LSU rRNA
Rfam family: 5.8S ribosomal RNA (bases 250-403)
Source: RNAcentral
AAGGAUCAUUAUUGAAAUAAACCUGAUGAGUUGCUGCUGGCUCUCUAGGGAGCAUGUGCACACUUGUCAUCUUUAUAUCUCCACCUGUGCACCUUUUGUAGAUCUGGAUAUCUCUCUGAGCGCUUAGCAACUCAGGUUUGAGGAUUGACUUUAUUGUCUCUCCUUACAUUUCCAGACCUAUGUUUCUUAUAUACCCCAAUGUAUGUCAUAGAAUGUAAUUAAUGGGCCUUUGUGCCUAUAAAUCUAUACAACUUUCAGCAACGGAUCUCUUGGCUCUCGCAUCGAUGAAGAACGCAGCGAAAUGCGAUAAGUAAUGUGAAUUGCAGAAUUCAGUGAAUCAUCGAAUCUUUGAACGCACCUUGCGCUCCUUGGUAUUCUGAGGAGCAUGCCUGUUUGAGUGUCAUUAAUAUAUAUCAACCUCUACACCUUUUGUUUGUUGAGUUGUUGGAUGUGGGGGCUCUUGCUGGCUUCUCUGAGGUCAGCUCCCCUGAAAUACAUUAGCGGAACGAUCCCCGUUCAUUGGUGUGAUAACUAUCUACGCUAUUGACGUGAAGUAGUUUGGCUUAUAACAGUCCAUUGACUUGGACAAAUUUUCAUUAAUGUGACCUCAAAUCAGG